GUCUUCAUAGUUUAGUGGUUAGAAUCCUGCUUUGUGGCAGCAGAGACCCGGGCUCGAAUCCCGGUGGGGACA
Cymbomonas tetramitiformis is the source of this 72-nucleotide non-coding RNA. Lineage: Eukaryota; Viridiplantae; Chlorophyta; Pyramimonadophyceae; Pyramimonadales; Pyramimonadaceae. The record is from the annotation of a GenBank genome assembly.